GACGAACGCUAGCGGCGUGCCUAAGAAAUGCAAGUCGAGCGAGGUUGAGGAGCUUGCUCCGAAAGCCUAGCGGCGAACGGUCGCGUAACACGUAAGCAACCUGCCCUGAAGUGGGGGAUAGUCUUCCGAAAGGAAGCUUAAUACCGCAUGUGGCCACUGGUUCGCAUGGACCGGUGUCUAAAGCAGCAAUGCGCUUCAGGAUGGGCUUGCGGCCUAUCAGCUAGUUGGUGUGGGUAACGGCUCACCAAGGCGACAACGGGUAGCUGGUCUGAGAGGAUGGUCAGCCGGACUGGGACUGAGAUACGGCCCAGACUCCUACGGGAGGCUG
This 328-nucleotide ribosomal RNA is filed under the name uncultured Armatimonadota bacterium. RNAcentral describes it as "bacterial SSU rRNA". It matches the Rfam family "Bacterial small subunit ribosomal RNA", at positions 28 to 351 of the family's 1533-position model. The record is from RNAcentral. Lineage: Bacteria; Bacillati; Armatimonadota.